GGCAGGCAUUGAACUUGCAACCAUCCUGCCUCAACCUCCCAAAUAUCUGGGAUUAUAGGCAUGCGCCACCAUGCCUGGCUCAUAAGUCAUUUUUCACAUGUGAAAAUAUAUCUGAGGUGGAAAUUCCUAGGUUAUGAACUAGGGCCUAUUCAUAGGCAUAACUAAUAGACAGCCAGAAAUCUCUAAUCCAUGCUGCUGGGUUAUUCAGCAUCUCAUUUUCUUUUCUGGGAUAGUUGGCAAGGAAAGUGGAUUGGGAAAAGCAUCUUCAUUCAGUCUUUUCCUACUGUUAAACACUUGAUGAAAGCCAGGUAUUAUGCCAUAAGUACCCUUAAAGACCCAUGGUCCCUGAUUUCAUGGAAGUUACAAAC
This 368-nucleotide long non-coding RNA is filed under the name Marmota monax (woodchuck). The record is from RNAcentral. Lineage: Eukaryota; Metazoa; Chordata; Mammalia; Rodentia; Sciuridae.